Canis lupus familiaris (dog) is the source of this 628-nucleotide long non-coding RNA. RefSeq lists it as uncharacterized. The transcript is spliced from 2 exons. NCBI's taxonomy places the organism in Eukaryota, Metazoa, Chordata, Mammalia, Carnivora, Canidae. The record is from RefSeq and is a predicted model, not a curated record.
AGGCUGUAGCUCAAAUAGAAUGCUACCGCCAGGAGACAUGACCAUGAUUCCAUUAAACAGUUAAGACUGCUUCUCGGCCACCUUGGGCUCCUCAGGCCUUUGAAAAAAACACAUAAAGGAUGAGACUUAAGGUGUUUAAUGAUCCUGACUACACAGAAAAAUGAGACUGUUAAUCCACCGUGGAGGAAAAGAAGGGGAAUAUCCUAUAAUGUGGGCCCAGAGCUUGGGCAGGCCCUCAAUUUACCCACGUGGAUUUGAAUAGAUGACACACAGGGCACUAAAGAACUGAAUGUUAUAACCUGCGCUAUUGAAUGAGCACUCCCAGGUAAAGCAUUUAUCAAAUCCUGGCGUUCAUCACAGAAAAAGUAAGAUGGUACACCAAGUGUUCCAUCGGCACAGAACUUAUGAUGUAUCAGAUGAAGCGCCAAGGAAGAGGGAAUCAGGGAUGCAGUCCGUCUCCGUGAGCAUCAGUGUUGUCAUGAAGGACAUCAUGCCAGCUCCAAAAAGGCACAGCUCAAUGUCUACCCAGCGUAAAUAUGUAGAAAUGGUGUUUUUCUUCUAAAAAGAUACGUAUUAUACAUAAAUAUUAAGAUCAGUAUUUAUAAAUAAACAAGAAAAAUGCUCCAAA